This 447-nucleotide ribosomal RNA is filed under the name uncultured bacterium. Its description in RNAcentral is "bacterial SSU rRNA". It matches the Rfam family "Bacterial small subunit ribosomal RNA", at positions 329 to 793 of the family's 1533-position model. The record is from RNAcentral.
UGCCAGACUCCUACGGGAGGCAGCAGUGGGGAAUAUUGCACAAUGGGGGAAACCCUGAUGCAGCGACGCCGCGUGAGUGAAGAAGUAUCUCGGUACGUAAAGCUCUAUCAGCAGGGAAGAAAAUGACGGUACCUGACCAAGAAGCCCCGGCUAACUACGUGCCAGCAGCCGCGGUAAUACGUAGGGGGCAAGCGUUAUCCGGAUUUACUGGGUGUAAAGGGAGCGUAGACGGCAGUGCAAGUCCGGAGUGAAAGCCCGGGGCUCAACCCUGGGACUGCUCUGGAAACUGUAAAGCUGGAGUGCGGGAGGGGCAGGCGGAAUUCCUGGUGUAGCGGUGAAAUGCGUAGAUAUCAGGAGGAACACCGGCGGCGAAGGCGGCUUACUGGACUGUAACUGACGUUGAGGCUCGAAGGCGUGGGGAGCAAACAGGAUUAGAUACCCCGGUAA